UUUGUUUUAAACUCCGGACGGGUUUUUUUCUCCUGCUCUUGGGGGGGACCCGGAGGGAGCGGCGCCCCCCCCCACUCCCGGCGCUGCCCCCGCGUGCGCCCUGCUCGCCCGCAGCCGAGACGGCAGGCCUCACAAUGUAGCAGAGUGUUCCCGGCUGCCAUCUGCCAUGUACAGAAAAUGGGCAGAGAUCAAGGGACAGCAGGGAGGCGCAGACGUGAAGACCCGCAGGGCAGAGUGAAGCCGCAGGCGAGGACUGACAGCAUCAGAGCCGCAGCC
Neomonachus schauinslandi (Hawaiian monk seal) is the source of this 276-nucleotide long non-coding RNA. RefSeq lists it as uncharacterized. The record is from RefSeq and is a predicted model, not a curated record. The transcript is spliced from 3 exons. Lineage: Eukaryota; Metazoa; Chordata; Mammalia; Carnivora; Phocidae.